GAAGAGAUGGCUGAGUGGUUGAAAGCGAUAGACUGUAAAUCUAUUUACACACGUAAUCGCAGGUUCGAAUCCUGCUCUCUUCC
This 83-nucleotide transfer RNA is filed under the name Polyopes lancifolius. Its description in RNAcentral is "tRNA-Tyr". It matches the Rfam family "tRNA". From Rfam's summary of the family: Transfer RNA (tRNA) molecules are approximately 80 nucleotides in length. Their secondary structure includes four short double-helical elements and three loops (D, anti-codon, and T loops). Further hydrogen bonds mediate the characteristic L-shaped molecular structure. tRNAs have two regions of fundamental functional importance: the anti-codon, which is responsible for specific mRNA codon recognition, and the 3' end, to which the tRNAs corresponding amino acid is attached (by aminoacyl-tRNA synthetases). tRNAs cope with the degeneracy of the genetic code in two manners: having more than one tRNA (with a specific anti-codon) for a particular amino acid; and 'wobble' base-pairing, i.e. permitting non-standard base-pairing at the 3rd anti-codon position. The record is from RNAcentral. Lineage: Eukaryota; Rhodophyta; Florideophyceae; Halymeniales; Halymeniaceae.